UAGGAUUGGGUGUAUUGGUAGCACAAAGAAUUUUGAAUUCUUAGGAGUAGGUUCAAUUCCUAUAGUCCUAG
RNAcentral lists this transfer RNA (71 nucleotides) under Lemniscomys barbarus (Barbary striped grass mouse). RNAcentral describes it as "tRNA-Gln". It matches the Rfam family "tRNA". Rfam says of the family: Transfer RNA (tRNA) molecules are approximately 80 nucleotides in length. Their secondary structure includes four short double-helical elements and three loops (D, anti-codon, and T loops). The record is from RNAcentral. Lineage: Eukaryota; Metazoa; Chordata; Mammalia; Rodentia; Muridae.